Molecule: ribosomal RNA, 217 nt
Filed under: Escherichia coli O10:K5(L):H4 str. ATCC 23506
Lineage: Bacteria; Pseudomonadati; Pseudomonadota; Gammaproteobacteria; Enterobacterales; Enterobacteriaceae
Description: Large Subunit Ribosomal RNA; lsuRNA; LSU rRNA
Rfam family: Bacterial large subunit ribosomal RNA
Source: RNAcentral
AUUCCCCCAGUAGCGGCGAGCGAACGGGGAGCAGCCCAGAGCCUGAAUCAGUAUGUGUGUUAGUGGAAGCGUCUGGAAAGGCGCGCGAUACAGGGUGACAGCCCCGUACACAAAAAUGCACAUAUUGUGAGCUCGAUGAGUAGGGCGGGACACGUGGUAUCCUGUCUGAAUAUGGGGGGACCAUCCUCCAAGGCUAAAUACUCCUGACUGACCGAUA